This 493-nucleotide ribosomal RNA is filed under the name uncultured bacterium. RNAcentral's name for it is "partial 16S ribosomal RNA". It matches the Rfam family "Bacterial small subunit ribosomal RNA", at positions 30 to 523 of the family's 1533-position model. The record is from RNAcentral.
AUUGAACGCUGGCGGCAUGCUUUACACAUGCAAGUCGAACGGUAACAGGUUAAGCUGACGAGUGGCGAACGGGUGAGUAAUGCAUCGGAACGUGCCCGGUCGUGGGGGAUAACGCAGCGAAAGCUGCGCUAAUACCGCAUACGAUCUCUGGAUGAAAGCGGGGGACCGAAAGGCCUCGCGCGAUUGGAGCGGCCGAUGUCAGAUUAGGUAGUUGGUGGGGUAAAGGCCCACCAAGCCAACGAUCUGUAGCUGGUCUGAGAGGACGACCAGCCACACUGGGACUGAGACACGGCCCAGACUCCUACGGGAGGCAGCAGUGGGGAAUUUUGGACAAUGGGCGCAAGCCUGAUCCAGCAAUGCCGCGUGCAGGAAGAAGGCCUUCGGGUUGUAAACUGCUUUUGUACGGAACGAAACGGUCCGGGUUAAUACCCUGGGCUAAUGACGGUACCGUAAGAAUAAGCACCGGCUAACUACGUGCCAGCCGCCGCAGUAA